AGAUCCCUUGAAGAACACAAGGUUGAUAGGUCGGGGGUGUAAGCAUGGUAACAUGUUCAGCUGACCGAUACUAAUAGAUCGAGGGCUUGGCCAA
RNAcentral lists this ribosomal RNA (94 nucleotides) under Clostridium perfringens. Its description in RNAcentral is "partial 23S ribosomal RNA". It matches the Rfam family "Bacterial large subunit ribosomal RNA", at positions 2831 to 2925 of the family's 2925-position model. The record is from RNAcentral. Lineage: Bacteria; Bacillati; Bacillota; Clostridia; Eubacteriales; Clostridiaceae.